GGCAGCCAGUCAUAUAAAGAGGCACUUGACUGUGUGACUGCAGACUCCUGGUGCUCAAGUCCUGGACUCCUUUGGAGAACCUGAUCCUGAGACUUCAGCACAAUGUCUUCUCAAGAGCAGCAGUGCCAGCAGCCAAGUCAGACUUCUGUGUGCUCACCCACAAAGUCUUCUGAGACUUCUCGACCACUGAAGUGCCCACAGGCUUGUCCUCCUCCAAUGUGCCCACAGAUUUAUUUUCCUCCAACAUGCCCACAGACUUGUACUCCUCCUCCAGUGUGCACACAGAUUUCUACUCCAAUAUGUCCUGGUCCUUAUACUUCUCCAACAUGGCCAUAUUCUUGUAAUCGUCGAAUGUGAACACAGCCUUGUAUCCUCCAAUAUGCCCACAGCCUUGUCCUCCUCCAAAGUGCCCACAACCAUGCCCCCCUCAGCCAUGACAGUGGACUUGUGCUCCUGUGCAACCUCAUCCACCUUGCCAGCAGAAGUGCCUACAGAAGAACAUGCGAGUGCUGCAGCAGUCACCAGGACCAAGAGAAGAGGAGGAAAUCUAUCUUCCCCCACUUCCACAGAAACACGUACAUCUUUGCUUUAAAGUCUGUCAUGGCUGCAGAAGAAUUUUGUCCACCCUACAGGUCCAUGUGUCUGUGAUGAUCCCUUAGAGUGAGGGCAUUCCCCUGAGAUUGUUCUUCUUCUGCUGUCAAGUGGUGGCUGAGUUUGUUCCUUCCACACCACCUCAGUGUCCCAGAUGCUCAGUGAUGAGCAGUUGCUUCCACCCUGUGCACUCAGAGGAUGUUUCCAAAACCAUGAGUUUACUUGUUUGUGUUGUUGUGUCCAUGAUUUCAUUUCCUGAAUAAAGUACAAUAUGGCUGUUAGUA
Molecule: non-coding RNA, 875 nt
Organism: Myodes glareolus (Bank vole)
Lineage: Eukaryota; Metazoa; Chordata; Mammalia; Rodentia; Cricetidae
Source: RefSeq, a predicted model, not a curated record